GGCAAAAGGCAACACAUCCAACUUGAGCUCUUUACUAGGCAUGUUCUUCUCCCUUAUCAUCCCCGCAGCCUCUGCCAACGUUAGGAUUUCGGGCGCCGGGGGCUGAAGGCGUGGGGCAGCUGGUAGAGGGUUACAGGCAUGGCCGAGGUGAAGUGGCAACGGCGAGUUGCCUGAUGGCUCCUGGGAUUGGUCGGAUGAUUGUUUCUUGAUCAUCUUCAUCUCCUGCUCCCGAAUUGGGGCCUCAGCAGCAACAGCUGUAGAAGGAGAUAGAAACCUCUGCUCCACACGCUUGUGCUUCUUCUUCUUCCCUCGCUCCUCCUCAAAGGUAGGAUUUGGGGCAAAAGGAAGCGCCUCCACCUUGUGCUCUUUACUAGGCCUGUUCAUCUCCCUUAUCAUCGCCGCCGCCUCUGUCAACGUUAGGAUUUCGGGCGCCGGGGGCUGAAGGAGUGGGGCAGCUGGUAGAGGGUUACAGGCAUGGCCGAGGUGAAGUGGCAAUGGCGAGUUGCCUGAUGGCUCCUGGGAUUGGUCGGAUGGUUGUUUCUUGAUAAUCUUCAUCUCCUGCUCCCGAAUUGGGGCCUCAGCAGCAACAGAUGUAGAAGGAGAUAGAAACCUCUGCUCCACACGCUUGUGCUCCUUCUUCUUCUUCUUCCCUCGCUCCUCCUCAAAG
This 667-nucleotide long non-coding RNA is filed under the name Hordeum vulgare. Its description in RNAcentral is "long non-coding RNA (HVUL_LNC015016)". Lineage: Eukaryota; Viridiplantae; Streptophyta; Magnoliopsida; Poales; Poaceae. The record is from RNAcentral.